RNAcentral lists this long non-coding RNA (1431 nucleotides) under Homo sapiens (human). RNAcentral's name for it is "HSALNT0026790". The record is from RNAcentral. Lineage: Eukaryota; Metazoa; Chordata; Mammalia; Primates; Hominidae.
CUAGAAUUAGCAUCUGCUGGAUCACUGACUGCAUUUCCACAGAACACAGAACAAAGCGGUUAAGAUCCAGGGCAUUGAGCCACGCCUUAAAUCGAAGCAUUGUCCACCUUCUAACCCCAAGCAGACACCAAGAGGGAGCCAACAACAGGGAUCCUGAGAGGCAAAGGGAGUCCAAGGAGCUAUGGGGAGAACUUUCCAUCUUUGGGGAUGAGAAUGUGAAGCAUCAAUUUAUGUGAAAACUACUGCUUGAUUAAAGACAAGAUUUUUGAAAGCCAUCCUGUAAAACACCCUGUCCCACACAUUGUUAAAGAUCUGGUACCUGAAACCACAGUGCCGAAAGUAGUCAAGUACGACUAUGCCUGAAGCCCAGAAGUGUGGUUUUCCACAGUGAGGAAGAUUUGCAUUGUGAAGCAGAUGUCAGAUAGAAAAAGCAAAACAGAAAUAUGAAGACAUUGUAAGAAUUUUGGGGUGAUUUCUGACCUGCUCAGUUUCCAUCAGGGCAUCCCAGGGUUUUUUGCCUUCUCAAUUUUGAACAGCAUAGCAUUUAAAUGAUCAUUUUUGUUUCUCUCCGCUGCUCCCCAAUCUAAACAACAAAAGAAGGAAUUUAACCUCAUAUCCUCGCUCUGAAAUUAGCUCUAUUGUCAAAAGAUGACAGCUGUAUCCUGAUUUCAAGAAUUUCAUGUUGGAAUAAAACAGCAUUUUUGAAACCAUUGUGUUAUUUCAAACAGAUCUGUAAUGGUCCCUGAGCAAACCAUUUUCAGAAGACUUGGGUGAGAUCACGUGAUGAUGGAGAAGGUCACCAGAGCCAGGCACCUUGUCCACACACAGGGCUUCCUUCCUCCAUGACUUAACCCAGAGAUGUAGACGGCGGGGUCAACAUUAAAUACCACAAACAGGCAAAAGAGCUUCAGACAGAAGGAUCAUCUUCCUGAAGACAAAAUAAUCAUCAUCCUUUGAGGGCAAAGUGGGCAACGUUAUGGGUAUCUUUUGUUUUGGAAUGGGACUCUACACUAUGGGAUUUCUAGUGGAGAGGACAGUUACCAGAGUCAGCACUGGAGGUAUGGGAAUUUCUAAGCUAGAGAACUGCAGUAGGGAAAAUUGAAAGAUGCUAUUUUGGGGGUCUCACUGAUAGUUAUGAAGCUUAAGUGUUUUUUCCUGGUGUCUUUUUAAGAAGCAUAUGUUAGUUGUAUGCUUUAUGAUAUAAAAAAAGAUAAAGCAUGUAUAGGUAUUUUACAGGCAGAGCAGAGAUGGGGAUAUUCUGAAUGCCCUUACCCCCCAGAAAACAAAAGUUAAGCUACAUAUAUUUUAUAAAGUAAUAGGAGAGGAUACAUCUCUAGGAAAAGUGGGGAGAUAAUGCCCAUAACGUAGCUAGGGCUCUACAUUCCCUUGUUCAAAAUCAACUAUGAUUGCAUUUUACAAUGAAGAACGCAC